Molecule: ribosomal RNA, 577 nt
Filed under: uncultured bacterium
Lineage: Bacteria
Description: bacterial SSU rRNA
Rfam family: Bacterial small subunit ribosomal RNA
Source: RNAcentral
GAAAGAUUUAUCGCUUUAAGAUUGGCCCGCGGAAGAUUAGGUAGUUGGUGGGGUAAAGGCCUACCAAGCCGACGAUCUAUAGCUGGUCUGAGAGGACGAACAGCCACAUUGGAACUGAGACACGGUCCAGACUCCUACGGGAGGCAGUAGUGAGGAAUAUUGGGCAAUGGAGGAAACUCUGACCCAGCCAUGCCGCGUGAGUGAAGAAGGUUUUCGAAUUGUAAAGCUCUUUCGGAUGUGAAGAUGAUGACGGUAACAUCUAAAGAAGCCCCGGCAAACUUCGUGCCAGCAGCCGCGGUAAUACGAAGGGGGCAAGCGUUGUUCGGAAUUACUGGGCGUAAAGGGUGUGUAGGCGGGAAAGUAAGAUAGUGGUGAAAUGCCUGAGCUCAACUUGGGAACUGCCAUUAUAACUAUUUUUCUAGAGUGACAGAGAGGAUAUUGGAAUACCCAGUGUAGAGGUGAAAUUCGUAGAUAUUGGGUAGAACACCGGAGGCGAAGGCGAGUAUCUGGCUGUCAACUGACGCUGAGGCACGAAAGCAUGGGGAUCAAACAGGAUUAGAUACCCUGGUAGUCCAUG